UACGUAGGGGGCAAGCGUUGUCCGGAAUCAUUGGGCGUAAAGAGCGUGUAGGCGGCCCGGUAAGUCCGCUGUGAAAGUCCAGGGCUCAACCCUGGGAUGCCGGUGGAUACUGUCGGGCUCGAGUCCGGAAGAGGAGUGUGGAAUUCCUGGUGUAGCGGUGAAAUGCGCAGAUAUCAGGAGGAACACCAAUGGCGAAGGCAGCACUCUGGGACGUUACUGACGCUGAGACGCGAAAGCGUGGGGAGCAAACAGG
This 253-nucleotide ribosomal RNA is filed under the name uncultured bacterium. RNAcentral describes it as "partial 16S ribosomal RNA". It matches the Rfam family "Bacterial small subunit ribosomal RNA", at positions 524 to 776 of the family's 1533-position model. The record is from RNAcentral.